GGAUUAGAUACCCUGGUAGUCCACGCCGUAAACGAUGUCUAUUAGGAGUCUGUGUCCUUGAGACGUGGGUUCCAAAGCUAACGCAUUAAAUAGACCGCCUGGGGAGUACGGCCGCAAGGUUAAAACUCAAAUGAAUUGACGGGGGCCCGCACAAGCGGUGGAGCAUGUGGUUUAAUUCGAUGCAACGCGAAGAACCUUACCUACUCUUGACAUCCAGAGAAGUUACCAGAGAUGGUUUCGUGCCUUCGGGAACUCUGAGACAGGUGCUGCAUGGCUGUCGUCAGCUCGUGCUG
RNAcentral lists this ribosomal RNA (293 nucleotides) under uncultured bacterium. RNAcentral's name for it is "partial 16S ribosomal RNA". It matches the Rfam family "Bacterial small subunit ribosomal RNA", at positions 775 to 1067 of the family's 1533-position model. The record is from RNAcentral.